ACCCCUGUAGCUCAGCGGAGAGAGCAACGGUUUCCGAGGCCGUGUGUCGCCGGUUCGAAUCCGGCUGGGGGUA
RNAcentral lists this transfer RNA (73 nucleotides) under Actinophytocola oryzae. It matches the Rfam family "tRNA". From Rfam's summary of the family: Transfer RNA (tRNA) molecules are approximately 80 nucleotides in length. Their secondary structure includes four short double-helical elements and three loops (D, anti-codon, and T loops). The record is from Rfam by way of RNAcentral. Lineage: Bacteria; Bacillati; Actinomycetota; Actinomycetes; Pseudonocardiales; Pseudonocardiaceae.